GCGGCAGCCUCUGGUGACGUGCUGUCCACCAGGCCUUGGAGACAGGCUAGCCUGGCCACAGAAUUAAACGUGUUGCCACACCUGCCAGUUUCUGAACUCUGUCCUUGGCUUCCUGCACCCUGCGUCACCACCUCCGGGGCCCCCCAGACCCUAACUAAAGCAGGGACCCUGUAUCUGGCACCAGACAGCACCUGGCUGCUCAGGACGAAUGAAUGAUGGCGUGAUCCUCCACAGCCUGACUUACAGGCACCGUGUGUGGCCGCACUGCUCCCUCUGGCCCAACCAUGCCUCUGCCCAGCCACCUGCUGCCCGCCUUGGUCCUGUUCCUGGGAGCCCUGGCCAGGCCGUGUGCAACUUCGUGUGUGACUGCAGGGACUGCUCAGAUGAGGCCCAGUGUGGUGAGCCAAGGCCAGAUGGGCGGGCAGGGCCAGUGCGAGCAGGUCUGGCGCACACCUGACCACCCACUCUCCCAGGUUACCACGGGGCCUCGCCCACCCUAGGCGCCCCCUUCGCCUGUGACUUCGAGCAGGACCCCUGCGGCUGGCAGGACAUUAGUACCUCAGGCUACAGCUGGCUCCGAGACAGGGCAGGGGCCGCACUGGAGGGUCCUGGGCCUCACUCAGACCACACACUGGGCACCGACUUGGGUGAGGCCAGGGCAAGUCUCUGUGCGCCCCUGUCCCAAUACCCUCCUUGCUCCCUGCCCCGUCUCCUGACCUCUCACCUGCGCCAGGCUGGUACAUGGCCGUUGGAACCCACCGAGGGAAAGAGGCAUCCACCGCAGCCCUGCGCUCGCCAACCCUGCGAGAGGCAGCCUCCUCCUGCAAGCUGAGGCUCUGGUACCACGCGGCCUCUGGAGGUGCACCCUGGACCCCCAAGGCUCAUGGGGGGUGCCCAAGGGGAGGGCGGGUGGGCAGCUGGGGACAAGCAGGGCCGCAGCUGCCCUGGGACCCCUGACAUUGCAGAUGUGGCUGAACUGCGGGUGGAGCUGAUCCAUGGCGCAGAGACCCUGACCCUGUGGCAGAGCACAGGGCCCUGGGGCCCUGGCUGGCAGGAGUUGGCAGUGACCACAGGCCGCAUCCGGGGUGACUUCCGAGUGACCUUCUCUGCCACCCGAAAUGCCACCCACAGGGGCGCUGUGGCUCUAGAUGACCUAGAGUUCUGGGACUGUGGUCUGCCCACCCCCCAGGCCAACUGUCCCCUGGGACACCACCACUGCCAGAACAAGGUCUGCGUGGAGCCCCAGCAGCUGUGCGACGGGGAAGACAACUGCGGGGACCUGUCUGAUGAGAACCCACUCACCUGUGGCCGCCACAUAGCCACCGACUUUGAGACAGGCCUGGGCCCAUGGAACCGCUCGGAAGGCUGGUCCUGGAACCACCGCGCUGGUGGUCCUGAGCGCCCCUCCUGGCCACGCCGUGACCACAGCCGGAACAGUGCACAGGCUGGUCUUCUAUCAGUACCUGCGUGGGUCUGAGGCUGGCUGCCUCCAGCUGUUCCUGCAGACUCUGGGGCCCAGCACCCCCCGGGCCCCCGUCCUGCUGCGGAGGCGCCGAGGGGAGCUGGGGACCGCCUGGGUCCGAGACCGUGUUGACAUCCAGAGCGCCCACCCCUUCCAGAUCCUCCUGGCCGGGCAGACAGGCCCGGGGGGCGUCGUGGGUCUGGACGACCUCAUCCUGUCUGACCACUGCAGACCAGUCUCGGAGGUGUCCACCCUGCAGCCACUGCCUCCUGGGCCCCGGGCCCCAGCCCCCCAGCCCCUGCCGCCCAGCUCGCGGCUCCAGGAUUCCUGCAAGCAGGGGCAUCUUGCCUGCGGGGACCUGUGUGUGCCCCCGGAACAACUGUGUGACUUCGAGGAGCAGUGCGCAGGGGGCGAGGACGAGCAGGCCUGCGGCACCACAGACUUUGAGUCCCCCGAGGCCGGGGGCUGGGAGGACGCCAGCGUGGGGCGGCUGCAGUGGCGGCGUGUCUCAGCCCAGGAGAGCCAGGGGUCCAGUGCAGCUGCUGCUGGGCACUUCCUGUCUCUGCAGCGGGCCUGGGGGCAGCUAGGCGCUGAGGCCCGGGUCCUCACACCCCUCCUUGGCCCUUCUGGCCCCAGCUGUGAGCUCCACCUGGCUUAUUAUUUACAGAGUCAGCCCCGAGCUGGAGUUUGUCGGUUUGGUGGACUUGGAUGGCCCUGACCAGCAGGGAGCUGGGGUGGACAACGUGACCCUGAGGGACUGUAGCCCCACAGUGACCACCGAGAGAGACAGAGGUUCCUGCUGCCCAUCCUCACUCCCACCUGGGUGCUCCCCUUACACUCCUCCAGGGACCCCGGAGCUUCCACCUUCUCAGGGCUCUGGAGGGGGAGGGGAGAAGGUGUGUGACGCCACCUGGCCCCACCCCCAGAGGUCUCCUGUAACUUUGAGCGGGACACAUGCAGCUGGUACCCAGGCCACCUCUCAGACACACACUGGCGCUGGGUGGAGAGCCGCGGCCCUGACCACGACCACACCACAGGCCAAGGUAGGAUGGGCGCUCAGACCGGGGGUGGCUUUCAGACGGGAGUGGGGCAUCUCUGCAGCACAGCCCCAUGCCCCCUGCAGGCCACUUUGUGCUCCUGGACCCCACAGACCCCCUGGCCUGGGGCCACAGUGCCCACCUGCUCUCUAGGCCCCAGGUGCCAGCAGCACCCAUGGAGUGUCUCAGCUUCUGGUACCACCUCCAUGGGCCCCAGAUUGGGACUCUGCGCCUAGCCAUGAGACGGGAAGGGGAGGAGACACACCUGUGGUCGCGGUCAGGCACCCAGGGCAACCGCUGGCACGAGGCCUGGGCCACCCUUUCCCACCAGCCUGGCUCCCAUGCCCAGUACCAGGUGAGGCCUGGCACCCGGGUGGGAGGACAGGGCAGGGCCCCUGGCCAGCUGACACCCUCCGCCCCCAGCUGCUGUUCGAGGGCCUCCGGGACGGAUACCACGGCACCAUGGCGCUGGACGAUGUGGCCGUGCGGCCAGGCCCCUGCUGGGCCCCUAAUUACUGCUCCUUUGAGGACUCAGACUGCGGCUUCUCCCCUGGAGGCCAAGGUCUCUGGAGGCGGCAGGCCAAUGCCUCGGGCCAUGCUGCCUGGGGCCCCCCAACAGACCAUACCACUGAGACAGCCCAAGGUAUGGGGGCCUGGCAGGGGCAGGGAUUGAGGGGCUGGCCAGGGGCUGGCAGGCUGAUGCUGGCACCUCCAGGGCACUACAUGGUGGUGGACACAAGCCCAGACGCACUACCCCGGGGCCAGACGGCCUCCCUGACCUCCAAGGAGCACAGGCCCCUGGCCCAGCCUGCUUGUCUGACCUUCUGGUACCACGGGAGCCUCCGCAGCCCAGGCACCCUGCGGGUCUACCUGGAGGAGCGCGGGAAGCACCAGGUGCUCAGCCUCAGUGCCCACGGCGGGCUUGCCUGGCGCCUGGGCAGCGUGGACGUGCAGGCCGAGCGAGCCUGGAGGGUUCCUGUGAUUUUGAGUCUGGCCUGUGUGGCUGGAGCCACCUGGCCUGGCCCGGCCUGGGCGGAUACAGCUGGGACUGGGGCGGGGGAGCCACCCCCUCUCGUUACCCCCAGCCCCCUGUGGACCACACCCUGGGCACAGAGGCAGGCCACUUUGCCUUCUUUGAAACGGGCGUGCUGGGCCCCGGGGGCCGGGCCGCCUGGCUGCGCAGCGAGCCUCUGCCGGCCACCCCAGCCUCCUGCCUCCGCUUCUGGUACCACAUGGGUUUUCCUGAGCACUUCUACAAGGGGGAGCUGAAGGUGCUGCUGCACAGUGCUCAGGGCCAGCUGGCUGUGUGGGGCGCAGGCGGGCAUCGGCGGCACCAGUGGCUGGAGGCCCAGGUGGAGGUAGCCAGUGCCAAGGAGUUCCAGGUGAGGCUGGCUGUGGGCAAGGAGCCUCCUCCUCCUCCACCCAGGGCCCACACAAACUCCUUUCCUUCCCCAUCAGAUCGUGUUUGAAGCCACUCUGGGCGGCCAGCCAGCCCUGGGGCCCAUUGCCCUGGAUGACGUGGAGUAUCUGGCCGGGCAGCAUUGCCAGCAGCCUGCCCCCAGCCCGGGGAACACAGCCGCACCCGGGUCUCUGCCAGCUGUGGUUGGCAGUGCCCUCCUAUUGCUCAUGCUCCUGGUGCUGCUGGGACUUGGGGGACGGCGCUGGCUGCAGAAGAGGGGGAGCUGCCCCUUCCAGAGCAACACAGAGGCCACAGCCCCCGGCUUUGACAACAUCCUUUUCAAUGCGGAUGGUGUCACCCUCCCGGCAUCUGUCACCAGCGAUCCGUAGACCACCCCAGACAAGGCCCCGCUUCCUCAUCCAGCACUUGGUCAGACCCUAACCAGGGACCGGACACCUGCCCUGCCCAGGCUGGGACAGGCUGCAGGUCUCAGGACAUGCUGAGGCCUGGGCAUUCCCUGCCCUGUGCUGACUCUGUUGUUCUGUGAAUAAACACCCUGGCCCAUGAGGGCAGCCCAA
Molecule: small RNA, 4476 nt
Filed under: Pan troglodytes (chimpanzee)
Lineage: Eukaryota; Metazoa; Chordata; Mammalia; Primates; Hominidae
Description: processed transcript
Source: RNAcentral